Molecule: ribosomal RNA, 450 nt
Filed under: uncultured bacterium
Lineage: Bacteria
Description: bacterial SSU rRNA
Rfam family: Bacterial small subunit ribosomal RNA
Source: RNAcentral
GUGGGGAAUUUUGGACAAUGGGCGCAAGCCUGAUCCAGCCAUGCCGCGUGAGUGAAGAAGGCCUUCGGGUUGUAAAGCUCUUUCGGACGGAAAGAAAUCGCAUCUUUUAAUACAGGGUGUGGAUGACGGUACCGUAAGAAGAAGCACCGGCUAACUACGUGCCAGCAGCCGCGGUAAUACGUAGGGUGCGAGCGUUAAUCGGAAUUACUGGGCGUAAAGCGUGCGCAGGCGGUUGCGUAAGACAGAUGUGAAAUCCCCGGGCUCAACCUGGGAACUGCGUUUGUGACUGCGCGACUAGAGUACGGCAGAGGGAGGUGGAAUUCCACGUGUAGCAGUGAAAUGCGUAGAGAUGUGGAGGAACACCGAUGGCGAAGGCAGCCUCCUGGGCCAGUACUGACGCUCAUGCACGAAAGCGUGGGGAGCAAACAGGAUUAGAAACCCGAGUAGUCC